GUAGGUGAACCUGCGGAAGGAUCAUUUUAAAAUUCAGUAAAAAAGUAAGGUAAGUAGCCUUCCCACAAAAAGGCGGCGUGAGGGGGGGAAUCGCGAGAUCGUGGAUGGAGCAUGACUCUGGGUAGCGAGUAUCACUACCAUCACUCUCGCUUCAAAAGAUGUCCCCGGGAGAGGUGUCCCCUUGCUUGCUCUCUUACAAAUAUCCCUUGCAGCCGCUGCUUUGUGGGUUGGCCCAUCUUCCCCUUUAUUACUUUGAAUAAAAAACACCCCCACCGUGCACUUAUUGAAAGGCCACCCAGAAAGAAAAAUUUAUUUUUCUUUAACUUAUUGCCUAGUAUUUUGACUAAUCUUAUUAAAAAAAUUCAAUACAACUUUUAACAACGGAUCUCUUGGCUCUC
This 398-nucleotide unclassified non-coding RNA is filed under the name rhizosphere metagenome. RNAcentral's name for it is "partial ribosomal RNA internal transcribed spacer region". The record is from RNAcentral.